AAAAGCAGGCUGACGAAGCUGCGCACCCUGGGUAAAAUGCACGUUGAGAGGUGAACCAAUGGUUCACCUCUCACACUUGCAGCGCGCAGAUCUUCAUUGCCAUAAAUACCAGGGGCUUUCACAGCUAUGAAGCACAACCCAAUAAGCAGGACAUGCCUCGUGAAACGAUGUCGACCUAUGAUGUUGAGUCAGUAAUGUUAGCACGUGCGCAUAGUAGAAGAAUUAUUAAUACAGUCUCCGACAUUUAACCUACUAAUAGUUUAUAAGGACGCAUAUUUAUCGCCACGCGACUGCCUUUGGAAGCGUCCCUCAAUGUCGUGCAGUUGGUUCCGGAGGAGACGCGGACGCCAUCCAUACCUCUUCGUGUCUAGGCC
This 374-nucleotide long non-coding RNA is filed under the name Volvox carteri. RNAcentral describes it as "long non-coding RNA (VCAR_LNC003645)". Lineage: Eukaryota; Viridiplantae; Chlorophyta; Chlorophyceae; Chlamydomonadales; Volvocaceae. The record is from RNAcentral.